RNAcentral lists this non-coding RNA (94 nucleotides) under chicken gut metagenome. RNAcentral describes it as "pemK RNA". It matches the Rfam family "pemK RNA". The record is from RNAcentral.
ACAAUGAUACUUCUGUCCAGUCCCAGUGCCCCAUUGGGGGAUCACGCAAGGAGGGCAGCCGGGAGAGAUCCUCGCGGGGGUGAGAGUCCCAUGA